CGGGGGACAGGGUGACAGGUGGUGCAUGGUUGUCGUCAGCUCGUGUCGUGAGAUGUUGGGUUAAGUCCCCGCAACGAGCGCAACCCUCGCCUUUAGUUGCCAGCAUUUAGUUGGGCACUCUAAAGGGACUGCCGGUGUUAAACCGGAGGAAGGUGGGGAUGACGUCAAGUCCUCAUGGCCCUUAUGGGUAGGGCUUCACACGUCAUACAAUGGUCGGUACAGAGGGUUGCCAAGCCGCGAGGUGGAGCCAAUCCCUUAAAGCCGAUCGUAGUCCGGAUCGUAGUCUGCAACUCGACUACGUGAAGUCGGAAUCGCUAGUAAUCGCAGAUCAGCAUGCUGCGGUGAAUACGUUCCCGGGUCUU
This 362-nucleotide ribosomal RNA is filed under the name uncultured Thauera sp. RNAcentral describes it as "bacterial SSU rRNA". It matches the Rfam family "Bacterial small subunit ribosomal RNA", at positions 1020 to 1382 of the family's 1533-position model. The record is from RNAcentral. Lineage: Bacteria; Pseudomonadati; Pseudomonadota; Betaproteobacteria; Rhodocyclales; Zoogloeaceae.